This 373-nucleotide ribosomal RNA is filed under the name uncultured bacterium. Its description in RNAcentral is "bacterial SSU rRNA". It matches the Rfam family "Bacterial small subunit ribosomal RNA", at positions 524 to 898 of the family's 1533-position model. The record is from RNAcentral.
GACGGAGGGGGCUAGCGUUGUUCGGAAUUACUGGGCGUAAAGGGCGCGUAGGCGGAUUAGUAAGUUGGGAGUGAAAGCCCGGGGCUUAACCUCGGAACUGCUUUCAAAACUGCUAGUCUUGAGUGAAGUAGGGGAUGAUGGAAUUCCUAGUGUAGAGGUGAAAUUCUUAGAUAUUAGGAGGAACACCGGUGGCGAAGGCGGUCAUCUGGACUUCAACUGACGCUGAGGCGCGAAAGCGUGGGGAGCAAACAGGAUUAGAUACCCUGGUAGUCCACGCCGUAAACGAUGAGUGCUAGAUAUCGGGAGUUUUUCUUUCGGUUUCGUAGUUAACACGUUAAGCACUCCGCCUGGGGAGUACGAUCGCAAGAUUAAA